GACGAACGCUGGCGGCGUGCUUAACACAUGCAAGUCGAACGGAAAGGCCCUGCUUGCAGGGUACUCGAGUGGCGAACGGGUGAGUAACACGUGGGCGAUCUGCCCUGCACUUCGGGAUAUGCCUGGGUAACUGGGUCGAGUACCGGAUAGGAGGCAUUGUGAGUGUGAUGGUUGGAAAGGUUUUUCGGUGUAGGUUGAGCUCGCGGCCUAAUAGCUUGUUGGUGGGGUAAUGGCCUACCAAGGCGGCAACGGGUAGCCGGCCUGAAAGGGUGGACGGCGACAUUGGGACUGAGAUACGGCCCAGACUCCUACGGGAGGCAGCAGUGGGGAAUAUUGCACAAUGGGCGCAAGCCUGAUGCAGCGACGCCGCGUGGGGGAUGACGGCCUUCGGGUUGUAAACUCCUUUCGCUAGGGACGAAGCUUUCUGUGACGGUACCUAGAUAAGAAGCACCGGCUAACUACGUGCCAGCCGCCGCCGUAA
Molecule: ribosomal RNA, 481 nt
Filed under: uncultured bacterium
Lineage: Bacteria
Description: partial 16S ribosomal RNA
Rfam family: Bacterial small subunit ribosomal RNA
Source: RNAcentral